UUGACCUCGGAUCAGGUAGGAAUACCCGCUGAACUUAAGCAUAUCGAUAAGCGGAGGAA
Molecule: ribosomal RNA, 59 nt
Filed under: Fusarium graminearum
Lineage: Eukaryota; Fungi; Ascomycota; Sordariomycetes; Hypocreales; Nectriaceae
Description: partial 28S ribosomal RNA
Rfam family: Eukaryotic large subunit ribosomal RNA
Source: RNAcentral